Molecule: non-coding RNA, 58 nt
Organism: Salmo salar (Atlantic salmon)
Lineage: Eukaryota; Metazoa; Chordata; Actinopteri; Salmoniformes; Salmonidae
Source: Rfam
UGGCUCAGUUGGUAGAGCAUGGCGCUUGCAACGCCAGGGUUGUGGGUUUGAUUCCCAU